This is a long non-coding RNA of Anopheles stephensi (Asian malaria mosquito), 1489 nucleotides long. RefSeq lists it as uncharacterized. The transcript is spliced from 4 exons. The record is from RefSeq and is a predicted model, not a curated record. NCBI's taxonomy places the organism in Eukaryota, Metazoa, Arthropoda, Insecta, Diptera, Culicidae.
AGCUAAUGACAAGAAUGAACUUGCGCCAUUUUAAGUUGGUUGCACCGCGCUGCUGGCUAGUGGCGCGUGCCAUUGAGUCGCUUACGAAUUAGCCGAAAAUAGUUGUAAAAUAAGCAAAAUACUUGCCAAUUUAGUGUUCUAGUACUGUUUAAGAUAAUCCUGUUCAUGGUGAUAGUGUUAUUCAGUUGAUUAAAGCCUUCUUACGCGUAUUUUCCCACUGUGUGAUGUAAUUAAGCAUUGGCAUGAACUGUGGUAGAAGUAUUUAGUGUUGUGUUUGUGUUCAUAUGAAACCGGAAGCUAGCUCACCAUUGAAUGUGGCGGAUCCGGAUGAUGCAAAGUCCUAAAGUGAAGAGCAGUGGCAAAAGAAAAAGUGAAAAAAGAAGAUUUGAUGGAAAGUUACCCCAGAUGGGACUCGAACCCACAAUCCCCGGCUUAGGAGGCCGGUGCCUUGUCCAUUAGGCCACUGGGGCGGUGUUAUGGUGCGUGCCAGUAGAAUGUUUUAAGCUUUCGGCCAUUUUUACCCGCCAAAACGGUCCUUCUGAAAUUUCCAGACGGUCAUUUGCGUUAAAUGGAGUUUUCGCGACCAACCCUACGUAUGAAACCUGAUGUAAAUCUGCGUCAACAGUGAAACAAAACGUCCACACAACGGGAGCGUCGGUGACAUAUGAGCCUACCUUGCAAAGAUGCUUGAAAAAUGACUAAAACAAACGAUGUUUGAGUUUGCUUAUUCCAGCUCAAAUCCAAUGUUUGAGAUAUUGCUCGAAUUUGCGUCUAUGUGACAAUAACUUCGAACGGCUGAUAGAACUUGUAAAAACUGGUAAAAUCUUGGCGACGAUAGGUGCGUCAUUGAUGAAAGAAACUGCACACUAACCUUGUGGUAUGUUGAAACAAUAGAAUGUUUUGGGCUAACAUCUAUCAAAGCAACUUUUAUGAUCAUCCUGUAUCCAAGAGGGAGAAGAAUCUGACCGCUAAGGCUCAGAACGAGCUGGCAGAAAAAAUUGGCAAAAGCCCGCUUAGGACCAGGUUAUUACGUUAUUACGGUGACAAUGUAUAACACAAUCAUGUUCGUUGAACGUAGGAUUCGAAUAACGUUUAACAUACUGAGUAAUCUGUUGAAUUUUUAAUUUCAUCACCGUUCAUAGCAAGGUUAUUUUAACUGCCAGCGUUAGUGCAAUUUAGCAUUUGUUGUUCUGACAAUCUAUCUGGCAAUGUAUAAUGUAUUGGCAAAACUCCUUCGCAUGACCUUACGCAUGUUUUUGUCACUGUCACACUGUCACCGAUUAUGCACACUUAAUUACUGAAAACCGAUUAACAGCACAGAGCUGAACAGGUUCUUUCGUACUGUUCUCUAAACGCUACUGCCAAUGAGAAAUGCCAUUGAGGAAAAAAAUAAACUCGUUCUGUUGGAUGAUCAAUAGCGGUAAGUAAAACAAACGCGGUGAAGGUAAGAUGAUAAUUUUUCAAAUAGGAAGAAAAUGUAAUCCACAUU